CCUACGGGGGGCAGCAGUGGGGAAUAUUGCACAAUGGGGGAAACCCUGAUGCAGCGACGCCGCGUGCAGGAAGACGGCUCUAUGAGUUGUAAACUGCUUUUGUACGAGGGUAAACGCAGAUACGCGUAUCUUUCUGAAAGUAUCGUACGAAUAAGGAUCGGCUAACUCCGUGCCAUCAGCCGCGGUAAUACGUAGGGGGCAAGCGUUAUCCGGAAUGACUGGGCGUAAAGGGUGCGUAGGUGGUUUGACAAGUUAGUAGCGUAAUUCCGGGGCUCAACUUCGGAACUACUACUAAAACUGUUGGGCUUGAGUGCAGGAGAGGUGAAUGGAAUUCCUAGUGUAGCGGUGGAAUGCGUAGAUAUUAGGAGGAACACCAGCGGCGAAAGCGAUUCACUGGACUGUAACUGACACUGAGGCACGAAAGCGUGGGGAGCAAACAGGAUUAGAUACCCGUGUAGUC
RNAcentral lists this ribosomal RNA (460 nucleotides) under uncultured bacterium. RNAcentral's name for it is "partial 16S ribosomal RNA". It matches the Rfam family "Bacterial small subunit ribosomal RNA", at positions 338 to 795 of the family's 1533-position model. The record is from RNAcentral.